Manis javanica (Malayan pangolin) is the source of this 103-nucleotide small nuclear RNA. Lineage: Eukaryota; Metazoa; Chordata; Mammalia; Pholidota; Manidae. The record is from RefSeq and is a predicted model, not a curated record.
GUGCUUGCUUCAGCAGCAUAUAGACCAAAAUUGGAACAAUACAAAGAUUAGCAUGGCCCCUGUGCAAGGUGACACACAAAUUUGUGAAAGAGUUCAUUAAAAA